ACUGCAAGCCUGCUAUCGCCGCCACCAUGUGGAGGAGGAAAGUCCGGACAGCACAGAGCGACCUGCCAUCUAACGGAUGGUUCUAACAACAAAUGUUGGGAGGAAAGUGCCACAGAAAAUAACCGUCUUAUUACUUACAGUAAUAAGGUAAGGGUGAAAACGAGAGGUAAGAGCUCACGGCUUGUUAUGGUAACAUAGCAGGAGGGUAAACCCCAGGUGCUGAAAUGUCAAAUAAGUGAAUGUUCGAGAACUGCUCGUUCGAUGUUCAUGGGUAGACAGAUGGAUUGUGAUGGUAACAUUACGACUAGAUAAAUGAUAGCUUUUCGGAUUUAUCCGAUAAACAGAAUCCGGCUUAUGUGCUUGCAGUUUUU
Molecule: RNase P RNA, 371 nt
Filed under: Chitinophagaceae bacterium
Lineage: Bacteria; Pseudomonadati; Bacteroidota; Chitinophagia; Chitinophagales; Chitinophagaceae
Description: RNase P RNA component class A
Rfam family: Bacterial RNase P class A
About the family: Ribonuclease P (RNase P) is a ubiquitous endoribonuclease, found in archaea, bacteria and eukarya as well as chloroplasts and mitochondria. Its best characterised activity is the generation of mature 5'-ends of tRNAs by cleaving the 5'-leader elements of precursor-tRNAs.
Source: RNAcentral